UUUCUGAAUGCAAGGCCGCGGUCACUGCUCACGCACUCUCCUGUUAGGAACCAUCCUUGCCCUUAGCGGAGGGUGAUGAAGACGUGACAGGCUUUCCUCUGGGAAGCCCGUGGGAUCAGAACGAGCCAUUUUUGGAUACAAAUGUCAGUGGCUUUGCCUGCGGCAGUUCACGGAAGACAUAAUUGCUGUGAGCUGCCUCCCUCCACCCCUCUUCCUGCACUCAGCCACCCACCUCCCUUGAAGCUGAUCACAGACUCCAGGGAGCAGAGGGAAGGGCAGGUGGUAGAGGCUGCUCCUUCUGGUUCUUUCCCACUCCCUCAGCGGGAGGCUCUGACGUUUCCAGAAUUCAGACCCCAGAGGUGUUGUUGAGCCUCUGACUCAUGACCUCAGGGCGGAGAGUUCAAGCCCUGCACUGGGUUUGAAGAUUACGGGAAAACAACAACAACAAACCGUCUGUAACUUCACAAAUCUAUCACUUUGGAAGCUGGUGGCAACAAGCUGGCAGGAAAUAUGGGACUUAGGAAAAGCAAACACACUCUAUUUGCUAAUGAUCACUAAACAUUUGUAACCAAGGUAAGCUUACUACAGAAAGGAGGAGUUGGCUCAAGUGUAAGGGCAGAGCGUUGAAAAAUCCUAACCUUCUUUCUUGCAUGCUAAAAUCAGUUAACAGAGAUCAACUAUUAGCUGCUACAGAAGGAAGAGAUUUGUUUACACUAUGUGAUUUUUGUCAGGGUGACUGCUUGACUGCCUGCCUGCCCGAGAUUUUAUUACUUAUUAACUCGUGAUUCCCAGUGAGUAGGAGAAGGCGCUUGGAUUUCUAAAGUUUGCAUGAAGCUGGUGUCCUCAUUUUUCUGCCAGGGCUCUGGUAUUCGCUCUUUGAAUAAUGGCAGUUCUCAGCAAAGCCAAGGUUUUCCACGCAUGCCCUUCACUGUUCACACCCAAUUAACGAACGGUUAAUUUCUGGUUUCAGAUUUUGGACAUAAUCAAAACGUUGGAUACUGAGCAGCUUUGUAAACAGAAUAUGACCGUACGUGUACUUGUUUCUGACUUCCAAGGGAGGACGUCUAACAGCUCUCAGCUUCCAAAUGCCUGGACCAAUGGCACAAAGCUGACACUGAUUAUGGAACCCAUGAGAAUGCACAAAAUUCAGGAACGCUGGGGCUCUGUUAUUGGUUUUUUUUUUUUUUAAACAAAAUAUUCAUACAUUAGUGUUUGUGGAACAUAUAUACUCAGUUUAAAGGAGAAUUACCAAAGAAAUACCCAGUUUCUUCCCAUGUUUAAAGAGAACAUUGAACCAGUUCCACCAAAGCUCUGUGAGCCCCAUGUGCACCCCCAGUCCGCGGGGGAACUGUGGUCCUGCACUUCCACG
RNAcentral lists this long non-coding RNA (1369 nucleotides) under Felis catus (domestic cat). RNAcentral's name for it is "lncRNA (ENSFCAG00000050928.1)". The record is from RNAcentral. Lineage: Eukaryota; Metazoa; Chordata; Mammalia; Carnivora; Felidae.